Molecule: unclassified non-coding RNA, 258 nt
Filed under: uncultured Diaporthales
Lineage: Eukaryota; Fungi; Ascomycota; Sordariomycetes; Diaporthales
Description: sequence contains 5.8S rRNA gene, ITS2, 28S rRNA gene
Rfam family: 5.8S ribosomal RNA (bases 1-52)
Source: RNAcentral
AACGCACAUUGCGCCCGCUGGAAUUCCAGCGGGCAUGCCUGUUCGAGCGUCAUUUCACCCCUCAAGCCUUGCUUGGUGUUGGAGCACUACCGCUUUAUACAAGCGGUAGGCUCUGAAAUUCAGUGGCGGGCUCGCUAAGACUCUGGGCGUAGUAGUUUAUCACCUCGCUUUGGAAGGAUUAGCGGUGCUCUUGCCGUAAAACCCCCCAAAUUUCUGAAUUUUGACCUCGGAUCAGGUAGGAAUACCCGCUGAACUUAA